This 292-nucleotide ribosomal RNA is filed under the name uncultured Campylobacter sp. RNAcentral's name for it is "partial 16S ribosomal RNA". It matches the Rfam family "Bacterial small subunit ribosomal RNA", at positions 505 to 796 of the family's 1533-position model. Lineage: Bacteria; Pseudomonadati; Campylobacterota; Epsilonproteobacteria; Campylobacterales; Campylobacteraceae. The record is from RNAcentral.
GUGCCAGCAGCCGCGGUAAUACGGGGGGUGCAAGCGUUACUCGGAAUCACUGGGCGUAAAGGACGCGUAGGCGGAUUAUCAAGUCUUUUGUGAAAUCUAGUGGCUUAACCACUAAACUGCUUAGGAAACUGAUAGUCUAGAGUAGGGGAGAGGUAGAUGGAAUUCUUGGUGUAGGGGUAAAAUCCGUAGAGAUCAAGAAGAAUACCCAUUGCGAAAGCGAUCUGCUGGAACCUAACUGACGCUGAGGCGUGAAAGCGUGGGUAGCAAACAGGAUUAGAUACCCUUGUAGUCC